Molecule: long non-coding RNA, 561 nt
Organism: Alligator mississippiensis (American alligator)
Lineage: Eukaryota; Metazoa; Chordata; Crocodylia; Alligatoridae
Exons: 3
Source: RefSeq, a predicted model, not a curated record
UUUGGAAGGGGAGGAGGGAAAGGGUGAGUCUAGUAUUUAGCUAGUUUAGUACUGAGCAGCUGGCUGAGCACCUGCAGGGGAAAGCAGAGAUGGGUGCUCUUUCUGCUGGAAGGGAUGUGACACACAUGGAUCAGCUGAGGAGAUGAAGGGCUGGCCAUCUCCAGAAGAUAACAGAGGUUGGGAACUGCUGCUCUACAAAAGAGGCAAACAACAAUUUUCCUCAGUUCCAAGUGACAACAAAAACCAAGACUGGUUGCUAUACUACCUAGAUCCCCAUGAAGUAUGUGAACCAAGGAUCCAGAAGCACAGCUGGCACAACUGAGGCAGCUCACACCUGGUGCUCUUGCACAAUAAAGACAUGCUUACACCAGCUUAUCAUCUAAGCCUGGAGAACAGUGGGAAGCUUCUGCAAAGCUGCAAGUUGCAAAGACAACCUUGGUUCAGCUGUAUUAAGGUUUGAAACUCUGGGAUCAUGCAGCAUAGAUGGGUUAUCUUAACUUAAGCAUGCUAUUUAAAAGCUUCUCACAGCAGACCUAGCCAAUACUAUAAAGUACUGAUUGC